This 253-nucleotide ribosomal RNA is filed under the name uncultured bacterium. Its description in RNAcentral is "partial 16S ribosomal RNA". It matches the Rfam family "Bacterial small subunit ribosomal RNA", at positions 524 to 776 of the family's 1533-position model. The record is from RNAcentral.
UACGAAGGGGGCUAGCGUUGCUCGGAAUCACUGGGCGUAAAGCGCACGUAGGCGGAUUGUUAAGUCAGGGGUGAAAUCCUGGAGCUCAACUCCAGAACUGCCUUUGAUACUGGCGAUCUCGAGUCCGGGAGAGGUGAGUGGAACUGCGAGUAUAGAGGUGAAAUUCGUAGAUAUUCGCAAGAACACCAGUGGCGAAGGCGGCUCACUGGCCCGGUACUGACGCUGAGGUGCGAAAGCGUGGGGAGCAAACAGG